GCUGGUUUGGCUCAGCGGAUAGAGCAUCAGCCUGUGGACUGAAGGGUCCCGGUUUAAUUCUGGUCAAGGGCA
This 72-nucleotide transfer RNA is filed under the name Cnephaeus nilssonii (northern bat). RNAcentral's name for it is "tRNA-OTHER". The record is from RNAcentral. Lineage: Eukaryota; Metazoa; Chordata; Mammalia; Chiroptera; Vespertilionidae.